CCUCUGUUGGCUUAGUGGAGCAUGUGACUCUUGAUCUCAGGGUUGUGGGUUUGAGUCCCAUACUGGGUG
Molecule: transfer RNA, 69 nt
Filed under: Mustela putorius furo (domestic ferret)
Lineage: Eukaryota; Metazoa; Chordata; Mammalia; Carnivora; Mustelidae
Rfam family: tRNA
About the family: Transfer RNA (tRNA) molecules are approximately 80 nucleotides in length.
Source: Rfam by way of RNAcentral